UACGGAGGGUGCGAGCGUUGUCCGGAAUCACUGGGCGUAAAGGGCGCGUAGGCGGCGCGGGAAGUUCGUGGUGAAAGCCCGAGGCUCAACUUCGGGUCGGCCAUGGAUACUCCUGGGCUCGAGCACUGUAGAGGCAGGUGGAAUUCCGGGUGUAGCGGUGGAAUGCGUAGAGAUCCGGAAGAACACCGGUGGCGAAGGCGGCCUGCUGGGCAGUGACCGUAAGGUCUUAAAAGCUGACGCUGAGGCGCGACAGCGUGGGGAGCAAACAGG
This 270-nucleotide ribosomal RNA is filed under the name uncultured bacterium. RNAcentral describes it as "partial 16S ribosomal RNA". It matches the Rfam family "Bacterial small subunit ribosomal RNA", at positions 524 to 776 of the family's 1533-position model. The record is from RNAcentral.